This 250-nucleotide ribosomal RNA is filed under the name uncultured bacterium. Its description in RNAcentral is "partial 16S ribosomal RNA". It matches the Rfam family "Bacterial small subunit ribosomal RNA", at positions 355 to 600 of the family's 1533-position model. The record is from RNAcentral.
UCGAGAAUCUUCGGCAAUGGGCGCAAGCCUGACCGAGCGACGCCGCGUGCGGGAUGAAGGCCCUUGGGUUGUAAACCGCUGUCAGAGGGGAUGAAGUGCCGGAAAGCUAUCUUUCCGGUUUGACAUAGCCUCAGAGGAAGCACGGGCUAAGUUCGUGCCAGCAGCCGCGGUAAUACGAACUGUGCAAACGUUAUUCGGAAUCACUGGGCUUAAAGGGUGCGUAGGCGGCCAUGUAAGUAGGGUGUGAAAG